AUUGAACGCUGGCGGCAGGCCUAACACAUGCAAGUCGAGCGGAGCCCCGGACGCGUGAGUAAUGCCUAGGAAUCUGCCUGGUAGCGGGGGAUAACGUCCGGUAACGGGCGCUAAUACCGCUCCCUACCAGAUGAGCCUAGGCCGGAUUAGCUAGUUGGUGGGGGAAAGGCUUACCAAGGCGACGAUCCGUAACUGGUAUGAGAGGAUGAUCAGUCACACUGUAACUGAGACACGGUCCAGACUCCUACGGGAGGCAGCAGUGGGGAAGAUUGGACAAUGGGCGAAAGCCUGAUCCAGCCAUGCCGCGUGUGUGAAGAAGGUCUUCGGAUUGUAAAGCACUUUAAGUUGGGAGGCGGUACCAACAGAAUAAGCACCGGCUAACUUCGUGCCAGCAGCCGCGGUAAUAC
This 407-nucleotide ribosomal RNA is filed under the name uncultured bacterium. RNAcentral describes it as "partial 16S ribosomal RNA". It matches the Rfam family "Bacterial small subunit ribosomal RNA", at positions 30 to 526 of the family's 1533-position model. The record is from RNAcentral.